UACAGAGGUCCCAAGCGUUGUUCGGAUUCACUGGGCGUAAAGGGUGCGUAGGCGGGCAGGUAAGUCCGUGGUGAAAUCUCUGAGCUUAACUCAGAAACUGCCAUGGAUACUAUUUGUCUUGAAUAUUGUGGAGGUGAGCGGAAUAUGUCAUGUAGCGGUGAAAUGUUUAGAUAUGACAUAGAACACCAAUUGCGAAGGCAGCUCACUACACAGUUAUUGACGCUGAGGCACGAAAGCGUGGGGAUCAAACAGG
Molecule: ribosomal RNA, 253 nt
Filed under: uncultured bacterium
Lineage: Bacteria
Description: partial 16S ribosomal RNA
Rfam family: Bacterial small subunit ribosomal RNA
Source: RNAcentral